CGGCUACCCCUCCGAUACUAAAGAUCUGUGUGUGUGUGUGUGUGUGUGUGGAGGGGGUGUUGCUCCAUCCUGCUUGCGCCGGAGCCAAGGACAAAGUCCUUGGGAGCUGAAAGUUAAUAGUAGCUGGGAGCUGUGUACGUGAGGCAGAUAAGCUGGCGUCCCAGCCUUGGGGAGACUGGACUAGGGUAUGGGGGGAGGACGGAGCUGGCAUCCACGGGCAAGGAGCCCAGCUGAGCGUCACAGAGGAACCAGAGCUGUUGGGGGAAUGGGACGCAUCAUCUGACUUUGCACCUCUUCAGCUGCCUCCCGCCUGACUCCUCUCAAUUUCUCUAUCACCGACCGCAUAAAGGCUACGGGACAGAUCCCCCAUGGGAGUAAAUUGCCCCGGAUCCACUGACCUUGGACUCAUAGACUUUAAGGGGGAGGGGAUCGAACAGCUGAUCUGGCCCCAGAACCUGGGAGCAAAUUGAUCACCAGAGCCGAACUCAGCAGAGGACGCACGGCCCCCGCCCGAGACGCCGCAGCCCCCAGGGAGAGCGCCCCAUGGAAGACGUGGUUGAAUGCAGUGAAGGCCUGAGCCAGACCGAUGUGCUGAGGAAGAAGAACCAGCUGGAGGAGAAGGGGCUGGUGACGGAGGGGCUGGCUGCCUGCUUCAGCCGGGCCAUGGAGCUGCUGAAGAGCCGUCAGCAUGUCGGGAUGUGGCGGGGCGGCAGGCUCAUCUUGCAGAGCGAUGGGUGCUGGGUGGAGUUCAGGAUGGGAAACACCCACCCGAUCCUGCUGGUGUGGUACGACCCCCACAAGAAGGAGGUUCAGGUCUCCCCACCCUAAGAGGGGAGGGGAUCAGUCCACCCAUCAACUCCUCGCCUCUCUGUGCUGAAUAAAGGCCCUCAGGGGGCUUGAAUCUGG
This is a non-coding RNA of Chrysemys picta bellii (western painted turtle), 906 nucleotides long. The record is from RefSeq and is a predicted model, not a curated record. NCBI's taxonomy places the organism in Eukaryota, Metazoa, Chordata, Testudines, Emydidae.